CAAUAGCGUAUAUUAAAGUUGUUGCAGUUAAAAAGCCCGUAGUUGGAUUUUUGGUGACGGAUUAGCGGGAGGGCCGUGAAAGCGGUGUUUUUUCUGCUGGCGUUGCCAUUUGCUUCCUGAAGAGUGCGUGGGGCAUUCAUUUGUUUCCGCGAGUAACACGCUUCAGGUCGUUUACUUUGAGCAAAUUAGAGUGUUCAAAGCAGGCGUUUGCCUUGAAUACCUUAGCAUGGAAUAAUGAAAUAGGACUUGGUUUCUGUUUUGUUGGUUUCUAGAAGCCGAGUAAUGAUUAAUAGGAACAGUUGGGGCCGUUCAUAUUUCAUUGUCAGAGGUGAAAUUCUUAGAUUUAUGGAAGAUGAACUACUGCGAAAGCAUUCGGCAAGGAUGUUUUCAUUAA
This 394-nucleotide ribosomal RNA is filed under the name uncultured eukaryote. Its description in RNAcentral is "partial 18S ribosomal RNA". It matches the Rfam family "Eukaryotic small subunit ribosomal RNA", at positions 592 to 976 of the family's 1831-position model. The record is from RNAcentral.